Molecule: ribosomal RNA, 483 nt
Filed under: uncultured bacterium
Lineage: Bacteria
Description: partial 16S ribosomal RNA
Rfam family: Bacterial small subunit ribosomal RNA
Source: RNAcentral
ACUCAAAUGAAUAGACGGGGAGGCGCACAAGCAGUGGAGCGUGUUGUUUAAUUCGAAACCAAGCGAAAAACCUCACCAGGGUUUGACAUGUACUUGCAAAUCCCGAGAAACCGGGACUCCUUCGAGGGUAGUACACAGAUGCUGCAUGGCCGUCGUCAGUUCGUGGCGUGAGCUGUACCGUUAAGUCGGGAAACGAACGAAACCCGCACCGUAUGUUAAAUAAUUCAUGCGGAACUGCCCCCAUUUUGGGGGAGGAAGGCGCGGAUGAUGUCAGGUCCGCACGGCUCUUACACCCUGGGCUACAAACACCCUACAAUGGCUAAAACAGCGAGUUGCUAAUCGGUAACGAGGAGCUAAUCUCUUAAAUUUAGCCUCAGUUCAGAUCGAGGUCUGCAACCUGACCUCGUGAAGUCGGAAUUGCUAGUAAUCGCGAAUCAGCAGGUCGCGGUGAAUACGUUCUCGCCUCUUGUACACACCGCCCGU